This 253-nucleotide ribosomal RNA is filed under the name uncultured bacterium. RNAcentral's name for it is "partial 16S ribosomal RNA". It matches the Rfam family "Bacterial small subunit ribosomal RNA", at positions 524 to 776 of the family's 1533-position model. The record is from RNAcentral.
UACGUAGGGGGCGAGCGUUGUCCGGAAUCAUUGGGCGUAAAGCGCGCGCAGGCGGCGCGGAGAGCCCGGCGUGAAAGCCCCCGGCUCAACCGGGGGAGGCCGUCGGGGACCUUCGGGCUGGAGGCCGGCAGGGGGGAGUGGAAUUCCCGGUGUAGUGGUGGAAUGCGUAGAGAUCGGGAGGAACACCGGUGGCGAAGGCGGCUCCCUGGGCCGGUCCUGACGCUGAGGCGCGAAAGCGUGGGGAGCGAUCCGG